RNAcentral lists this ribosomal RNA (433 nucleotides) under uncultured bacterium. RNAcentral describes it as "partial 16S ribosomal RNA". It matches the Rfam family "Bacterial small subunit ribosomal RNA", at positions 29 to 507 of the family's 1533-position model. The record is from RNAcentral.
AACGAACGCUGGCGGCAUGCCUAACACAUGCAAGUCGAACGAGACCUUCGGGUCUAGUGGCGCACGGGUGCGUCACGCGUGGGAACCUGCCCUUAGGUUCGGAAUAACUCCCCGAAAGGGGUGCUAAUACCGGAUAAUGUCUUCGGACCAAAGAUUUAUCGCCUUUGGAUGGGCCCGCGUUGGAUUAGCUAGUUGGUAGGGUAAAAGCCUACCAAGGCGACGAUCCAUAGCUGGUCUGAGAGGAUGAUCAGCCACACUGGGACUGAGACACGGCCCAGACUCCUACGGGAGGCAGCAGUGGGGAAUAUUGGACAAUGGGCGAAAGCCUGAUCCAGCAAUGCCGCGUGAGUGAUGAAGGCCUUAGGGUUGUAAAGCUCUUUUACCCGGGAUGAUAAUGACAGUACCGGGAGAAUAAGCACCGGCUAACUCCGUG